UGAAUGAUAGGUGAUCCAUGCUUGUUCCCUUUCGCUGAAGUUGAAGGAUUAGUCCCAUGCUAAUUUGGGGACACCCUGUGCCAUACACGAAUGAUUUAA
Molecule: transfer RNA, 99 nt
Filed under: Theileria annulata
Lineage: Eukaryota; Apicomplexa; Aconoidasida; Piroplasmida; Theileriidae
Description: Phe transfer RNA (gaa)
Source: RNAcentral